AUGCCAGCGGCACCCGGGUACGGGCCGCCGCCGGACGGCUCGCUUGGCGUGGCGGCGUGAGCCCCGGUGGGGCGGUGGCAGGGGGGCCGGCGCCGUGCCGCUGCCGGGCGUGUGCGGCCUUUAGCCUGUGGUGCGGUCGCGAACAGGGGACCGGCACGCGAAUCCCCCCGGCCGCAGGCCCGGGUAUGCUGCGAGGGACGGGGCAAACGGCCCCGCGCCCACAGCCCCACGCCUCAGUGCUUAGCUGGCCACCCGGCGUCCCCCAGGUUGCACCAACAUCAACACCUAGGGCUUGAUUUAACGCCGAUAUUCAAACAUCUGAAUUGCAUUGCAGCCAAACUGAUGCCCGAGUGGAUGGCUGUGGACUGGCAAGGGAGAUGGAACUCCCCUGAAACACGCUGGAAUUCCUUAUUUUCUAAUACAGAAUGGCUGGAAAAUACUGAGCCCAGACUUGCUGACUGCAUCUGCAGAUGAUAGGAGAGAAGCAGUGAAUCAAAGCUAACCACUACAUUUGCAAAUUAUCUGGCUGCCUUAGAAGAGAUCUGUGGAAAGGCCAGAAGAACAUGUGCCUCAGUGAGGGCUGAAAAUAUUACAUUUUCUUUUCAUGUGCUUCCUAGCUACAAUUAUGCCUGCUGCUCUUUCGUCUUCUUUUUCCUUUUUACCUCAUCCUGUGCAGUCAUGUCUUAACUGCAGCUGUAUUAACACUGACAAAAAUGGUGUGUUUUACCUAUUUACUAGCAUCGCUGUAGGUUUUCCAUCGCUGGAGGUCAUUCUACAAGAUAAACGCCCUAACUGGUUGAGAACUUCCCAUAAUUUUAACCUAUUCCCUUCUUCAAAGCCACCAAAAAGAGAAAAGGAAGCAAAAUGAAUGGCUAAAUGGCUUUAAGGAGAGGAAAUGGGGGAAGACAGAACAGGCAAAAGAUGGACGAGAGCUGGAACAGAGUUGUCUAGCAGGAAGCCUGAACAGAACCUGACCAAAUGCAACGGUUUGAUGCUUUAAAUUCUCUUUAUAGUUGGUGCAGUUGCAGUUAUCUCAGCCAUCUUAGCCAAGUCACAACUCAAGUCCUCAGCUAUUCAGUUCCCAACCAAACAUUUUUUAAAGCCUCAUUAUUCCUACCAAAAUUACUUCAUCCAAAUAUAAUUCUACUGUACCAUAACAGCUUUAACUAUAAGUAUGAAGAAAAAAAAAUGUCCAGCGAGGGCACAAUGAUCUGCAUUUGAGAUUUGCCUGGGAAAACAGGUGGCAACUUAUCCUCUGGAGAAGUUCACUCUUUAGCAGCAGGGGGAAAAACAGACGUGACCAUUUUAUUCCUGAAGAAAUGAAAAAUACUGUAAUAAGUAAAGACAGGGGCUUACACAACUUUUUCGAUGAUACAGGGUGGCUCUGACCUGAAAAUUAACAGGCCUUGCAUGGCCGCAGUUGCUUUCUAAUGAGAAAAGAACAGGAAGCAGCCCAUUGUCACUCUAGCCCUGUUACCAGUUUGGUUUUGUCAUGGCACUACAACAGUAGCAGCCACUGUGUAAUAUAAGAACAAAAGACUGCACCUGCUUUUUCACAAACUACUUGUUUUAAAAUGAGACACAGAUAGCAAUACAGGAGCCUAGGGAAACAGUGCAGUACAAGUUGGUAUCAUAUCUAACUAGCAGUACUAGUUAGCAUCUGCUCUCGUGAGACUCGACCUGGAGUACUGCAUUCAGCUCUGGGGCCUCAAACGUAAGAACAUAGACCUGUUGGAGUGAGUCCAGGGCAGGGCCACAAAGAUGACCAGAGGGCUGAAGCACCUCUCCCAUGUGAGGACAGGCUGAGAGAGUUGGGGUUGUUCAGCCUGGGGAAGAGAGAAGGCUCCGGGGAGACCUUCCAGUACCUAAAGGGGCCUGCAAGAAAGCUGGAGAAGGGCGUUUUACAAGGACAAGUAGCAAUAGGACAAGGGGUGGGGGGUGAGGGUGGCUUUAAACUGAAAGAGGGUAGGUUUAGAUUAGAUACAAGGAAGAAAUUCUUCACUUGGAGGGUGGCAAGGCACUGGCAGAGGUUGCCCAGAGAAGCUGUGGGUGCCCCGUCCCUGGCAGUGCUCAAGGCCAGGCUGGACGGGGCUUUGAGCAACCUGGUCUAGUGGAAGGUGUCCCUGCUCAUGGCGGGGGCGGUGGAACUAGGUGAUCUUUACUGUCCCUUCCAACCCAAACCAUUCUGUGACUAUCAACAGCUAAGAAGCUUUUUUAAUACAUAUUGCAGUAAACAGACUGGCAAAAGUUAGGUUAACCUGGACAUCACCUUCCAGACCUACUUCUGCACAUUUGGCUGGCUGGACUCGAGAGGACAAGAUACAAGGCUUAGGAAACCAGCAACAGAAUAAUAGUUGAAUCUCCUAAAUUAAGAUUUUCCAAACCUGUAAAAGUAGCAGGAAAAGGCAGAGCAUCCUGUCCAGAGAAAGAAAGAAAAAAGACAAACAGAUCUAAAGGAGAAAAGGGCUCAAGGGUUAUUUCUUCCUUCAUACAGGAAACCUCCUAAUAACUCCUUCCUAAAAGAGUUGUUUCCUAUAUCAUUAAUCAUCACCUUAUGCUGUACAAAAACAUUUGGAAGCCAUCCAUCAUAGCAUUCUUUCCAUUAUGCUUGAGAUAGCAAAACUGAAUGCAAAUACAAGAUCCUACUUAUAUAUAUUUAGCAUACAUGUAUUACAUUUUUUACUACAAAGCCAUCUGUCUUUGAAGCAAGCUGAAGCAAACCCACUUUCCUGAAAUAGGCCUUUUAAGAGAGAAGGGUCAAGUGAACAACAGCAGAUUAGUUAGGACUGGGAAGUAUUUACCUCCCAAUUCAGAUAAAACCUGGGCUGUUGUUUGCUCUGUACAUAAGUGGAUCACUUAGAUAAAUGUUUUCUGAAGAGCUAUGACUCCAGGGCAGGAGCAGACUUCUGAGAAGGAUUCUUCAAGGAGACCAGGAACACGGAUAGCUCUAUUGCUGAGAAGGGUGAACUGGAAGUCUUAAACAUUAGAGCCAGUGAACAGGAAGCUUAAAAAGAGGCAGGCUGGAUUUGAAGGGUGCAAAGAAACCCUUAAUUUUCCUUGGCAAAGCUGAAAACAGAGGAGAGGCAUGUCUCAAGAGUCUAUGCGUUCUAGGCUGGGGUCAAAUCCCAAGUUUGUUCAGCAUUUGCUUCAUCCUGUGGUUUACUGUGUACUUGUUUAACUUGCUGGAGAAUUAAGAUGUUUUCCUCCAGUUUGGUGGGGGUUGCAUUUCCCUUUAUCUUAGUAGAUAGCAAAAUUCUGUCAGUGAUUUGCAGCUAGUUGGAUUUUCAAGGGAAAUGAGAAGCUUCUCAGUGGUGCCAAGAAACUGCUUUUCCCUUGUUAGCAGAGCGUUUGGAAAGUCAGCAGACUUCAGGAGAUGCAUAAAUUAAAUGAAGUCUCAAGGGCAUGUGUAUGUCACUUCAGGCAUGUUUCUGUUUAUGUGGGGAGGAGUAAAGUUCUGAGGUUUCAGUGAAAUGCA
Falco peregrinus (peregrine falcon) is the source of this 3475-nucleotide long non-coding RNA. RefSeq lists it as uncharacterized. NCBI's taxonomy places the organism in Eukaryota, Metazoa, Chordata, Aves, Falconiformes, Falconidae. The record is from RefSeq and is a predicted model, not a curated record. The transcript is spliced from 2 exons.